GACGAACGCUGGCGGCGUGCUUAACACAUGCAAGUCGAGCGGUAAGGCCCUUUCGGGGGUACACGAGCGGCGAACGGGUGAGUAACACGUGGGUGACCUGCCCUCAGCUCUGGGAUAAGCCUGGGAAACCGGGUCUAAUACUGGAUAUGACUCCAUGACGCAUGUUGUGGGGUGGAAAGCCUUGUGCGGCUGAGGAUGGGCCCGCGGCCUAUCAGCUUGUUGGUGGGGNGAUGGCCUACCAAGGCGACGACGGGUAGCCGGCCUGAGAGGGCGACCGGCCACACUGGGACUGAGACACGGCCCAGACUCCUACGGGAGGCAGCAGUGGGGAAUCUUGCGCAAUGGGCGAAAGCCUGACGCAGCGACGCCG
RNAcentral lists this ribosomal RNA (370 nucleotides) under uncultured bacterium. Its description in RNAcentral is "bacterial SSU rRNA". It matches the Rfam family "Bacterial small subunit ribosomal RNA", at positions 28 to 399 of the family's 1533-position model. The record is from RNAcentral.